AAGUUAACAUUGAUUAGAAAAAUAAUUCCUUGUUCCAAUUUGCUUAAUUUGGGCAUGACAAACCUCUUAUUACACCUAUAGAAUCUAAGCUAC
RNAcentral lists this small nucleolar RNA (93 nucleotides) under Theobroma cacao (cacao). RNAcentral's name for it is "Small nucleolar RNA snoR8a". It matches the Rfam family "Small nucleolar RNA snoR8a". The record is from Rfam by way of RNAcentral. Lineage: Eukaryota; Viridiplantae; Streptophyta; Magnoliopsida; Malvales; Malvaceae.